Molecule: long non-coding RNA, 1602 nt
Organism: Zea mays
Lineage: Eukaryota; Viridiplantae; Streptophyta; Magnoliopsida; Poales; Poaceae
Exons: 5
Source: RefSeq, a predicted model, not a curated record
GCUCCCCACCACUCCGUUCCAUCCCUCGCCUGCCUUCGCACGGGUGCGCCGCCCGCUCGACGGCCACGCCACGCCGCGCCGCGCCGCUCAGCUGCCCCGGCACCCGCCCUUCCUCGCCGAGCUCGGGAUCGACGUCUCCCGCACCUCCUCGCGCCCGUUCCGGGCUCCGCAUCCGGCCCCUCCCCGUCCCCAACCCCAUUCCGCAGCUGGCGACCAGCACAACAUCCCGAAUCCCCCACCUCGCAUUCGGCUCGCCGUAGCUCCUCCUCCGCGUCCCGCCGCCCCCGGCACGGCCACUAGCUGGGUAUCAAAACAUUGGGUUGCCAAACAAGCUACCUUCUCAGAUUCAGAUCAAUAGCUUCUCAGGUCCAACAAGUGAGCUUUUGCACCAGUAGCUUUUGCAACCGAUUGACGGAAGUUUGUUUUGUCACCCAAGACCUAUCACUUGUCACCUAUUCAAAGUGCAGAGGGAAGGGAACGGUGCUGAUAAUGCAAGUGCUGUCCAAAAAAAAUGGCGCUGUGGAGCAUCUGAAAUGCUGCUUCCCUUGGCUCAUAUGAAUGUCAGUUUAGGCCUUAGGAUAGAGCAAAGUAGCAUAAUCUCAAGCACAAGUUUACUAUGUCUGGGAUGGCAUUUGAUGAUUCACCUGCCCAAGUGAAUGUUGAAGGAGAUGUUUCAGAGAAAAAAGUAGAAGUUCAAGACCAGAAUGAAGUGGGUGGGAUGCCCUUACGACAAGAGGAGGAGGCAGCAAUUAAGAAAAAGUAUGAAGGAAUAUUGCCCAGAAAGACUCCUGCUUAUAUCUAAGAACUGCUACCAGCAACAUCAGUCGUCAGCACAAGUUCAGAUGUCAGUCGUCAUCAGCGCAACGUCCAAGGACUUGCUUGGAUUCACAUGUAUCUAUAUUAAUCCGCAAGCCCUAUUGUGCUACAGUAUAUUGGAAUUAAACUUAGGGGCCAACAAGAUUGGAUCCCUUCAUUUUGGGAAAUUGGAAUAUAUAUCUCUCUCACGUGACCAACAGUAGGAUACAAAUACGUUCUAUAUAAAACCAGGGGCGGACCCAGCCCAAAAUCUAAGUGGGGGCCUAAAUAGAGGCUUAGUAACUAAUAAACCUUUGUUUCUAUAGUAAAUAAGGUAAAAGGUCCAUUAAAACUUGAAAUUUGAGUGGGGGCCUGUGCCCCGCUCCGUAUAACGUAGGUCCGCCUAGGGGUGACAAUGGGCUCUAAUAUUUAUACUAUAAAAUAUAAGGAUCGGAUCGGAUUAAUAUCGGUCCCUAUUUCUAUUCAUUUUUGAACUAAAAUUUAUUCAGGGCCCUAAAUAAUUGUGAAAAACAUUUGGAUCGCGAUCCAUUACCACCCCUAGGUGCGCCCUUGCAUAAAAUUGUAUUAGCUGGACCGAUAUGUGCCUUGAAUCACGAUUAUAUUUUGAAUGGAAUUUAAUUCUGAGUAUCCAAACGGGUCGUUUGAGGGACUAAAGAUUAGUUCAUCCAUUUUAGUUCUAUUUAAUCACUAAGGCCUUGUUUGGGAGUAAGGGUAAUAGAGGGGAUUGGAGGGGUUAGAAUCCCCCACUAUUCAAUUUUAAAUAGUAGAGGAUUAUAGCCCCCUCAA